This 921-nucleotide ribosomal RNA is filed under the name Staphylococcus sp. HMSC69H07. RNAcentral describes it as "bacterial LSU rRNA". It matches the Rfam family "Bacterial large subunit ribosomal RNA", at positions 1277 to 2195 of the family's 2925-position model. The record is from RNAcentral. Lineage: Bacteria; Bacillati; Bacillota; Bacilli; Caryophanales; Staphylococcaceae.
AGCGCUUAGAAGUGAGAAUGCCGGUGUGAGUAGCGAAAGACGGGUGAGAAUCCCGUCCACCGAUUGACUAAGGUUUCCAGAGGAAGGCUCGUCCGCUCUGGGUUAGUCGGGUCCUAAGCUGAGGCCGACAGGCGUAGGCGAUGGAUAACAGGUUGAUAUUCCUGUACCACCUAGUAUCGUUUUAAUCGAUGGGGGGACGCAGUAGGAUAGGCGAAGCGUACGAUUGGAUUGUACGUCUAAGCAGUGAGACUGAGUGUUAGGCAAAUCCGGCACUCAUAAGGUCAAGCUGUGAUGGGGAGAGGAAAUUGUUUCCUCGAGUCGUUGAUUUCACACUGCCAAGAAAAGCCUCUAGAUAGAUAACAGGUGCCCGUACCGCAAACCGACACAGGUAGUCAAGAUGAGAAUUCUAAGGUGAGCGAGCGAACUCUCGUUAAGGAACUCGGCAAAAUGACCCCGUAACUUCGGGAGAAGGGGUGCUCUUUAGGGUGUAAGCCCAGAAGAGCCGCAGUGAAUAGGCCCAAGCGACUGUUUAUCAAAAACACAGGUCUCUGCUAAACCGUAAGGUGAUGUAUAGGGGCUGACGCCUGCCCGGUGCUGGAAGGUUAAGAGGAGUGGUUAGCUUCUGCGAAGCUACGAAUCGAAGCCCCAGUAAACGGCGGCCGUAACUAUAACGGUCCUAAGGUAGCGAAAUUCCUUGUCGGGUAAGUUCCGACCCGCACGAAAGGCGUAACGAUUUGGGCACUGUCUCAACGAGAGACUCGGUGAAAUCAUAGUACCUGUGAAGAUGCAGGUUACCCGCGACAGGACGGAAAGACCCCGUGGAGCUUUACUGUAGCCUGAUAUUGAAAUUCGGCACAGCUUGUACAGGAUAGGUAGGAGCCAUUGAAACGUGAGCGCUAGCUUACGUGGAGGCGCUGGUGG